AGCGAACGCUGGCGGCGUGCCUAACACAUGCAAGUCGAGCGAACCAGGAGUAAAGGUAACUUUGUUCCUGGUUCGCGGCGAACGGGUGAGUAACACGUGGGUAAUCUGCCCUCAGGAGGGGGAUAACUCGGGGAAACCUGAGAUAAUACCCCCAUAAGACCACAAGCUGAGAUGCUUGUGGUAAAAGGAGCAAUCCACCUGAGGAUGGGCCCGCGGCCUAUCAGGUAGUUGGUAGGGUAAUGGCCUACCAAGCCUAUGACGGGUAGCCGAGCUGAGAGGCUGGCCGGCCACACUGGGACUGAGACACGGUCCAGACUCCUACGGGAGGCAGCAGUGGGGAAUAUUGGGCAAUGGGCGAAAGCCUGACCCAGCGACGCCGCGUGGGGAAGAAGGCCUUCGGGUUGUAAACCCCGUUUUGCCUAGAGGACGACUAAAGACUGUACUCUGCGAAUAAGCCACGGCUAACUCUGUG
This 472-nucleotide ribosomal RNA is filed under the name uncultured bacterium. RNAcentral describes it as "bacterial SSU rRNA". It matches the Rfam family "Bacterial small subunit ribosomal RNA", at positions 29 to 507 of the family's 1533-position model. The record is from RNAcentral.